UGACUAUUGCAUGCUUGGAGGAUCUAGU
This 28-nucleotide non-coding RNA is filed under the name Rattus norvegicus (Norway rat). The record is from RNAcentral. Lineage: Eukaryota; Metazoa; Chordata; Mammalia; Rodentia; Muridae.